AACGAACGCUGGCGGCAUGCCUAACACAUGCAAGUCGAACGAGACCUUCGGGUCUAGUGGCGCACGGGUGCGUAACGCGUGGGAACCUGCCCUUAGGUUCGGAAUAACUCCCCGAAAGGGGUGCUAAUACCGGAUAAUGUCUUCGGACCAAAGAUUUAUCGCCUUUGGAUGGGCCCGCGUUGGAUUAGCUAGUUGGUAGGGUAAAAGCCCACCAAGGCGACGAUCCAUAGCUGGUCUGAGAGGAUGAUCAGCCACACUGGGACUGAGACACGGCCCAGACUCCUACGGGAGGCAGCAGUGGGGAAUAUUGGGCAAUGGGCGAAAGCCUGAUCCAGCAAUGCCGCGUGAGUGAUGAAGGCCUUAGGGUUGUAAAGCUCUUUUACCCGGGAUGAUAAUGACAGUACCGGGAGAAUAAGCUCCGGCUAACUCCGUG
Molecule: ribosomal RNA, 433 nt
Filed under: uncultured bacterium
Lineage: Bacteria
Description: partial 16S ribosomal RNA
Rfam family: Bacterial small subunit ribosomal RNA
Source: RNAcentral